GGAAUUUUGGACAAUGGGCGCAAGCCUGAUCCAGCAAUGCCGCGUGAGUGAAGAAGGCCUUCGGGUUGUAAAGCUCUUUUGUCAGGGAAGAAACGGUGAUCUCUAAUAUAGAUUGCUAAUGACGGUACCUGAAGAAUAAGCACCGGCUAACUACGUGCCAGCAGCCGCGGUAAUACGUAGGGUGCAAGCGUUAAUCGGAAUUACUGGGCGUAAAGCGUGCGCAGGCGGUUUUGUAAGACUGUCGUGAAAUCCCCGGGCUCAACCUGGGAAUGGCGAUGGUGACUGCAAGGCUAGAGUUUGGCAGAGGGGGGUAGAAUUCCACGUGUAGCAGUGAAAUGCGUAGAUAUGUGGAGGAACACCGAUGGCGAAGGCAGCCCCCUGGGUCAAAACUGACGCUCAUGCACGAAAGCGUGGGGAGCAAACAGGAUUAGAUACCCCAG
Molecule: ribosomal RNA, 440 nt
Filed under: uncultured Duganella sp.
Lineage: Bacteria; Pseudomonadati; Pseudomonadota; Betaproteobacteria; Burkholderiales; Oxalobacteraceae
Description: bacterial SSU rRNA
Rfam family: Bacterial small subunit ribosomal RNA
Source: RNAcentral